UUUAACGUCACCAACAUAAAAGGGCAAAUCUGUCACGCCAGGAAAAAAAAAAAGGCAAAUGAAGGAAUCAAAGUACCGAACUCAGCUCCACAAGAUCCUUGUAUUUGCUAUCCAUGGCCACGCUAUGUUUUUCAUCCCUCAAUCCUCUAUCCUCUCCUUUUUCUUCUUCUUCCUCCUCUUCAACUAAUCAUUUCCUCCCUCAACUAUCCCUAACAAAGCAAGAUAUUUCCACACUGUCCCGUACCAACAAUUCUAAACGUAGGAAGCUUCUAUAUCACCCCACAAGGCUCAUUCUCCACCCUGUUUUGUUGCUCACCGGUUUUGAUAAGCCCUUAGAUACCCAAACUUUUCUUGCCACUAUCAGUGUUUUGGCUGCCAUUGCACUCUCUCUCUUUCUUGGCCUCAAGGGUGAUCCCGUCCCAUGCGAUCGUUGUGCUGGAAAUGGAGGUACAAAAUGUGUCUUUUGCGAAGAUGGUAAGAUGAAGCAAGAAACGGGCUUGAUCGAUUGUCGGGUGUGUAAAGGUGCAGGUAAGAUUUAGUUAAAGAUCAGAACUCAGGCUUAGCUCCAUUGGUUCUCGUACCCAACCUAUCCUUAAAAGGUGACAUCCUAGCAGGAUUGAUACUUUGCAAGAAAUGCGGAGGUUCUGGAUAUUCAAAACGUUUAUAAGCUGUGGGUUCUGCUUCCAAUGAUCACAAUAUAUUUUUGCUUCCCUAAGGCUAAUUUACCAAUUACCAGUGCUUUUAAUUCAUUCAUCCCAAUCACUUUUUCCUUUUUAUUUUGUGUCCUUUAUCAAUUAAGCAUGCAGUUCUAUAUAUCUAACACUGGAUUUUAUUAACAAAAGUUGUAAAUUUCUAUUGUGAUUAUCUUUUGUUUCAAUAAGUUAGAUGGCUAUGAUGCGGAGUCAUAUCAUAUACAA
RNA transcript from Gossypium arboreum, 917 nucleotides. It is a transcript of the gene named protein BUNDLE SHEATH DEFECTIVE 2, chloroplastic, with no coding region annotated. NCBI's taxonomy places the organism in Eukaryota, Viridiplantae, Streptophyta, Magnoliopsida, Malvales, Malvaceae. The record is from RefSeq and is a predicted model, not a curated record. The transcript is spliced from 4 exons.